Molecule: ribosomal RNA, 400 nt
Filed under: Stevenia sp. n. 5 AT-2015
Lineage: Eukaryota; Metazoa; Arthropoda; Insecta; Diptera; Rhinophoridae
Description: SSU rRNA
Source: RNAcentral
CUGGGAUUAGAUACCCUGUUAUUUAAAUUGUAGAUAUAAUAAAUUAAGGUAGUAAUAGUUAUGUUCUUUAAACUUAAAAAAUUUGGCGGUAUUUUAGUCUAUUCAGAGGAACCUGUUUUUUAAUCGAUAAUCCACGAUGGACCUUACUUAAUUUUGUUAUCAGUUUAUAUACCGUUGUUAUUAGAAUAUUUUAUAAGAAUGUUAAUUUUCAUAAUUUUUAUAAGAAAAUAUAUCAAAUCAAGGUGUAGCUUAUAUUUAAGUAUAAAUGGGUUACAAUAAAUAUAUUUAAGCGGAUAUAAAUUUGAAAUAUUUAUUUAAGAUGGAUUUGAUAGUAAAAUUAUAUAGAUAAAUAAUUUGAUUUUAGCUCUAAAAUAUGUACAAAUCGCCCGUCACUCUCUGA